RNAcentral lists this ribosomal RNA (261 nucleotides) under Triticum aestivum (bread wheat). Its description in RNAcentral is "partial small subunit ribosomal RNA". The record is from RNAcentral. Lineage: Eukaryota; Viridiplantae; Streptophyta; Magnoliopsida; Poales; Poaceae.
AUGCCUUACGAUGAGCGAUACACACCGUACAUCAAGCAGGCAGGACUACUCCCGUGGAUUCUGUUGGUCAGCCGGUCCACGCCGAAUUUGAACGCUCCACUGGUGUCCGCUCUUGUUGAUCGGUGGAGGCCAGAGACCCAGAGUUUCCAUCUUCGGACCGGGGAGAUGACCGUGACGCUCGAGGAUGUCUCGUUGAUCACCGGUCUUGCUAUCGACGGGAGGCCUCUAUGUAUGAGCACCGAUUCUGAUGGGUGGCGCUAG